Molecule: small RNA, 3585 nt
Filed under: Pan troglodytes (chimpanzee)
Lineage: Eukaryota; Metazoa; Chordata; Mammalia; Primates; Hominidae
Description: retained intron
Source: RNAcentral
UGCCCAAAAGUUCAGCCCAUUAUACACAUCCUUUUGGCUUCCGGAUGGUAGGAUUUGAGGUUAGGUCAGGGAUAAAGAAUUAUUUUGAACUCUACAAGCGUGUACUUUUUACCCUAAAAAAAAUCUACUGUAGGAGCUAUUGUUGCACACAAACACAAGGGUAGUGGUUAUAUGGUCAGGUAAUACGGAGGGUUUUAGAUCCAGCUUGAAUACAUUUGAUCCAAUUAUAAGGUAUUUUAGUAGUCUUCAAACUUUGUGGUGAAGUGGGUGAAUUUACAGGAUGUAUUUUAUUUUCUCAUCUAUAAUUAUGGGAAGAGGAAAUUAAAAAGUCCGAAGGUAAAAAUAAAACCCAGUGCAAUAAGAUGUGGAAGAAGAGCAAAUGUCAUGUAUAUCAUUUGCUAGAAUUCCUAGUUUCAAAUUGGCCUGUUCCUCAGAGGUCUUUUUUAUUCAGUGUUGUUGUUUAUGUAGAGCAUGUUGUGACAGUGAUCAUUUACCCACUUAUAUGUGGUGAUACAUGACAUAACUAUGCAUGCAGAUACCAGUAACCAAAAAUACCUAAUCCAUAAAGUGACACUCAACACAUGGGAAAGUAUUGUUGUGCUUUGUUUUCCCAAUGUUUCAUUUAUUAUUAAUUAUUAACAUAAUGGAGUGUUAACACUAGCUAGAUGGUGCUAGAAAUGCACAUUGUUAAUUCACAGGCAGACUUGAGACACAUCAUAUAGUGUGAAUGUAAAUUGUUGAAAAGAAGUCAGAUAUUGACAUUGCAGUUUGGAUAAGUAAAGAGUAGGAUUUGCCGUAUGGACUCCUUUCCUAGCAUCAUCUGGGCUAACAAUAAGGGAAUAUAAUGUGGCCUUCAUAGAGCUGUGAUAUUUAAAAAACUAUUUAAGGGCUUUGGAAACAAAAACAACCAGAUUCAUUUUCUGGUUUUGCCACUUACUGUGACUUUGGGCGAAAAAAUAUAACCACUGUGAGCCUCAAUUUUCUCAUCUGUUAAAUGGGGAUAAUACAAGUACCUCACAGGAUAUGUGGAGGUUUCAAAUGUAAAAUAAUGUAUAAGAGAGAAAUUAUAUAAAAUAGUGCCUGCCAUAUAAUUUGUGCUAUACAAAUCAUAGUUGCUAUCAUCCCUUAUUUACUUGCUCCCUAUUUGGUUGCAAAACAGGAUUAUAAUGAUUUUUUGAAUUGCCCAGCUAUUCAGCUAUCAAUUUCUCAGCAAUUCGCUGUCCCACUUUCAAACCCAGUGAACUGAGAGGAAAGUUAUCUGAUAUAGUUUAACUUCUUGGAUUAAUGGAAAUGCUAACAGAAGACAUUAAAUAUAUGAACAAAAAUAUUUGGGGAAAGGCUUUUUCAAAUAGGCCAGUUAUCAGAUUCCUGCAUAGACUACUUACCUUGGGUGUAUUUUUAAUUCUGGGUUAUUUUCUUUUACAAUAGAUUUUAUUUUUUCAUAGUAGAUUUUAUUUUUCAUUGAUGACCAAAGUAUGUUCCUGCUUCUGCAUUGUCCUCAGCUGACAGUUGUGAGAUUAAGGAAAUGGCAGGGAAUUUACAAAUGAAAUCACCAACCUGAUUCUUCUGAACUGUCCCUGCUAUCUAGGCAUUACAGGCAAUGCUUUACCUUGAUUUAUGCCUCUGCCCUUGGGAUGGGUGCUAUUAUCCCUUCUGUUUUUCCAGUGAGGAAACUGAGGCAUAGGACAAGUAUGUGCCAGAACCCAAAAGCCUGAUUCUGAAAUCCAUGUUCUGUAACUCUUCAUAGCUUGGCUGUAUUUAUUUUGUCAGUGUUUAUUUUUGUUUUUCACAUUUUGGGAGUAUAACAGAAAGCCAAAUGAGUCUCAGUUAUAUUUAAUUAAAUUGUCAGAAGUUGAUCUUUGAAUCCUUUUGGAGGUUAACUAUUUUGAAUUAAGUGGUAUUUGAGUAUUUUGCCACACUACUUGGAGAAAAAUCUACAGCCAGUAUUAAAUUAAAAUACCUAUGUAUAAUAGUUAUUUUUAUUCCAGAACUAUUUUUUUAAAAAUCAACUGUAUUCUUGAAUAAACUAGUUUAGUUAAACAUGAAAUGUGGGGUUUUUUUUGUUCACCAAAUAAAAAUGUACUUAGGCAGUCAGUAAGGAAAGCUUUAUUUUACUCUGGCUUCUCUCUUUAUCUUCCUUUUCCUGUUUUAUUUUUUUCAUUGACUGGAAAAGAUUUAUUUCCCUGCUUGAUGUGAUUAAACAUGUUUUGCCAAAUUGAUGCAUGAGAACCAGUUUCUAUGAGAACUCUCUUCUGGAGAUGUAUAUCCAUGUAACUCUGUAUUUCCUCCCAUAUCUGACUGUUUGUUUCCAAUCUUUUGACUGCUUUCUUGCUUUUUAUGCCUUUAUCUUUGCUUAUUUGAAUUAGGUACUUCUCUGCUACCUUUCACCUGCUCUUUUUCUGUGCCAUUGUUUCCCUUGCUACCUUACCUAAAACCAGGCCCUAGAGAAACAGAAAGAAUACAUUGCCUGCCUUAGCAAUGAGCGAGAUAUGCUCAGAGAGGAGCUGGCUGACCUGCAGGAGACAGUGAAGACGGGAGAGGUAUGUUAGCAUUAGCCUGGAAUUCAGGUCCCUCACUGUUUUACUCUCUAUCUUCCUUCCUUUCAUCCUGCCAUCUUUCCUAGCCUAAAUACAAACUACAGUGUUUAUUCUCUAAUCCAGAUUUGGUAGGUUUAAGCUAUUUCUUACACAGAGCUAUAUUUCAUGUAACUGAUUCUAACCAGGUUUUACCUGUAGCAAACAUGUAUUGUUGCAGAGUGACCUCACAGAGCUUCCUGCUUCCAUAUGGGCCUUUUGUGAUGGUGAGUUUUUCCCCCCUGCAGAAACAUGGCUUAGUUAUAAUCCCCGAUGGCACUCCCAAUGGUGAUGUCAGUCAUGAACCAGUGGCUGGAGCCAUCACUGUUGUGUCUCAGGAAGCUGCUCAGGUCUUGGAGUCAGCAGGAGAAGGGCCAUUAGAUGUAAGGCUACGAAAACUUGCUGGAGAGAAGGAAGAACUACUGUCACAGAUUAGAAAACUGAAGCUUCAGUUAGAGGAGGAACGACAGAAAUGCUCCAGGAAUGAUGGCACAGUGGGUGACCUGGCAGGACUGCAGAAUGGCUCAGACUUGCAGUUCAUCGAAAUGCAGAGAGAUGCCAAUAGACAAAUUAGCGAAUACAAAUUUAAGCUUUCAAAAGCAGAACAGGAUAUAACUACCUUGGAGCAAAGUAUUAGCCGGCUUGAGGGACAGGUUCUGAGAUAUAAAACUGCUGCUGAGAAUGCUGAGAAAGUUGAAGAUGAAUUGAAAGCAGAAAAACGGAAGCUACAACGAGAGUUACGAACAGCACUGGACAAGAUUGAGGAGAUGGAGAUGACCAACAGCCACCUGGCCAAGCGGCUGGAGAAGAUGAAGGCCAAUAGGACAGCACUUCUGGCCCAGCAGUAGGAAAACCACCCUUCAACCUGGGUGAUGCUCCUUGGGGCCCUACCUAGAGGGACUGACUUUUGUCCAUUGACACAAACCCCUUUUAGUACUGUUUUGAGUUUUGUCAUUAAAACAGCCACCUUUGUAUUUUAUAAUUUAUGAGAGAAUGAAGUCAUUUUGAAUCU